GACUUUACUAUCAGCUUUAGCCCAAUUUAUACAUGCAAGUAUCCGCACCCCUGUGAGAAUGCCCUCAAUCCCCCUCCCGGGGACGAGGAGCAGGCAUCAGGCACUUACACACAGCCCAAGACGCCUUGCUACGCCACACCCCCAAGGGAACUCAGCAGUAAUAAACAUUAAGCCAUAAGUGAAAGCUUGACUUAGUUAACGCUAAGAGGGUCGGUAAAAUUCGUGCCAGCCACCGCGGUUAUACGAAAGACCCCAGUUGAUAGCCACGGCGUAAAGGGUGGUUAAGGUAAACAAUAAAUAAAGUUGAAGAGCCUCUAAGCCGUCGCACGCACUCCGAGAGCUCGAAAUCCAAACACGAAAGUAACUUUAAAACAAAUGCACCUGACCCCACGAAAGCUAAGAAACAAACUGGGAUUAGAUACCCCACUAUGCUUAGCCUUAAACCAAGAUGUAAAUUUACACACACAUCCGCCCGGGUACUACGAGCACAGCUUAAAACCCAAAGGACUUGGCGGUGUCUCAGACCCACCUAGAGGAGCCUGUUCUAGAACCGAUAAACCCCGUUAAACCUCACCACUUCUUGUUUUUCCCGCCUAUAUACCGCCGUCGUCAGCUUACCCCGUGAAGGUUCAAUAGUAAGCAAAAUUGGUACACCCAAAAACGCCAGGUCGAGGUGUAGCGAAUGAAGUGGGAAGAAAUGGGCUACAUUUUCUGCAAACAGAAUACUACGAACGGCACUAUGAAAACAUGCCUGAAGGUGGAUUUAGUAGUAAAAAGCAAAUAGCGUGUCCUUUUGAAUUAGGCUCUGAGACGCGCACACACCGCCCGUCACUCUCCCCUCAUCUCACAAAAAUAAAACAACAAUUACUAAUAAUCUAACCUUUAACACGGGGAGGCAAGUCGUAACAUGGUAAGUGUACCGGAAGGUGCACUUGGAAUAAU
Molecule: non-coding RNA, 942 nt
Filed under: Perrunichthys perruno
Lineage: Eukaryota; Metazoa; Chordata; Actinopteri; Siluriformes; Pimelodidae
Description: partial 12S ribosomal RNA
Rfam family: Bacterial small subunit ribosomal RNA
Source: RNAcentral